Pteropus vampyrus (large flying fox) is the source of this 104-nucleotide small nuclear RNA. The record is from Ensembl. Lineage: Eukaryota; Metazoa; Chordata; Mammalia; Chiroptera; Pteropodidae.
GCGCUCGCUUCGGCAGUGCACAUACUAAAAUUGGAAUACAGAGAAAAUGAGCAUGGCCCCUCCACAAGGAUGACAUGCAAGCUUGUGAAGUGUUCAAUAGUUUU